This is a long non-coding RNA of Xiphophorus maculatus (southern platyfish), 1412 nucleotides long. RefSeq lists it as uncharacterized. The record is from RefSeq and is a predicted model, not a curated record. Lineage: Eukaryota; Metazoa; Chordata; Actinopteri; Cyprinodontiformes; Poeciliidae. The transcript is spliced from 7 exons.
GGUUUCACUGCUGAGGUCAGCGCGCUGCGUCUUUGGCGCUGUGUGGACGCUUUGGGCAUUUUUUUUUUUUUUUUUUUUUUUUUUUUUGCGCGCAGAGUGGUUGCACUUUGAAAGAAACUUCAGCAGAAUACUCAGCCUUUUUAGAUUUCUCUUUUAAUCUUAGUCCAUAUAUAUGUAUGUAUUUUUAUAGCACAGUCUCAUUUGGUGAUAAUAGAGAUGAACUCUAAAAAUAAUAAUAAUAAUAAUAAUAAUAAUAAAAAAAGGCCAAGCAAGCAACGCGUUCCAGAAACCCAAGGCCCGAGCGCAAAGAUUUGUUUUCCCACCGAAAGGAUUUCCACAAUUCGUCUCCAGCUGGUCUAAUGUCGCGCUGUGAGCUUCCUGUGUGAUCCCUUCAUUCGCUUUGCAGCAGAGGAAUAUAAACGCGGAGCAGCUCAAGACGCUCCAUGCCUCCUCUGAUCUCUGAUCUCCCCCGUUGUCAUGGCGAAUCCACACAAACUGAGACAGCGCUCCAACCCUUACAGUCGAUUUCUGUCAGGGUUUUCUCUUCAGAGGAUGUGGCAGACUGGCUUGUUGAAGUCCUUCGUGAAAGCAGCAGCAUCCACGUGAGUGACGGCCGCGGUCUCUGCACAAAACAGGAAGUCAGGCUGAAACCUCGAAGGAGACGUUUAGACGGCUAAAGCGGGAUCUUCACCCGUCUGUCCCAAAGCCCGGCAGAUGGGAGAAGAUCUGUGAAGGAGGAGUUCAUUUUCUUUUCUUUUUUUUUGACAAUAAAAACAAUCGGACUCGGCAGUCGUCCUCUCCGGGUGCCGAUGACAGCCGGCUGCACACAGCCAAGAAAUCUUUGGACCUUCUGCUAUGUCCCCAAACAAAAUAAAACCUAAACCGUCUGCUGACAACCGCUGCAACUGAGAACCAGCUAAUCUCUCUGAAGGAGGAAGGAAGAGGAAAGCCGGAGGACGCUCCUGAGGUCGAGUGGAAAAAGCUGCAGGAGGCGGCAGGUCAUCCUGAGAGCCGCUAAUCAACGUUAACACCUCAGCAGGAAGCAGCAGGGUCCCAGAGAGGACGAUAAGGAGAUAUCUAGGAUAAGAACUGGAUGAGUGUGUAGACUUUCACUGAUGUGACUGAAAAUUUUAAUCAUUUUGGCUGCUCCAUCUGUAGACUCCUUUGUGGUGAAGCAGAGAGACAGCAUGCUGGCUUUUGAGUCUAAGGAACUGUGCAAGCAUUUAUUACAUCGUUUAUCAUUUAUCGUGGUAAAUUCCUUAGAAGAAUUUUGAUUUAUUGUCACAAUAAAUUCCAAUGAAUAAUGUUUAAAACCCCCAAAAGAUGUCCGUAUUAUCCGCGCUGUUACUUUUACUAUCAUUUGUUUUAUGAGAGUAGCAAUACAUACCAAUAAAUUUCAAAAUGUGACUAAA